AAGAUAGCUAAUUUCCCCUCCCUAUCUCAUGAAAGGUGAAAACUUUCAAUGAUCCUAUUAAUUGUAACAAAUGAAUGAGACCAAAUCUGAUUGCAAAAAAUGAACAACCUAGCUGAAUAUGUAAUGAUAAGAAACUGGAUUCUGUAAGGUGGCCAAAUGAAACCUAAAAACUAUAUCAUUUCAGGAAAGGCAUUAAGUUGCAUUCUGUGAAUGGCAAGGAUUUAAAAGGUUUUAUCAGCGUAUGAAAGGAGAGCCAGCCAGGAGGCACAACCAAGCCUAUGACCCAACUAAGAUUUAAAUUGGUUGAAACCCCAGCUGGUCUAAAUAACAUGCUUUUUCUUUUGGUUUUAUAUCUAGGACAAAAUAGAAUCAAGUCUCUAUAAUAUUACUGUACCCCAGGGCUGCCACUGCUCCUUUGACACCGUGUACCAAUAAGAAAAAGACAUCUCUUCCUCCAGGUAGCCCCUGGAAAGAUAGCUUUUAAAAGCAGAGUGAGAACUGUAGUUCAGGCCUCCCUCCCCCCUUUGGCCAGGCGCCCUCGUGCAAAGCACAGCCUGCAUAGGUCUGCUGUUCCUUUUAGGAAGUUUUAAGAAAUAAAUGUGGUAAAAUUACUGCCACCCCAGAAAGGUAUAAGGAUAAGAAUCACAGAGACAUUAACUUCAACCUGUGGUAAUGGUAUGUUAGUAGCAAUUUAAAUACCAAUUUUGUCAUUAUUGUGAAAUUUUGUGCAUAUUGUUUGCUUCUAAACAUAAAUCUAAUAAUUUCAAUUAAUAUUGUCAGACUAUGUUGAUAAAAUAAGGUUUGUGAUCGAUGCUUAAAUGUCUGGGAAAGUUGCAGUUGUUAAGUUUAAACAUUUUGAUUUCCUAGUUGUGUUCAGUGUUUACAGGAAUUUUAUUUCAUAGACAUGAAAGAUUAAAAAUUUGGGCAUCAAGGUAAGUAUAAAUUGGAGUGUUCCUCUUUUCACACGUGUCCCUUAGAGUGUGGACAUUUAAGAUCUAAGUAGUAAUAGGUAGAGGAAAUGGAAAUAAAGUCACAAUGAGGGGGGGAGAAAAAUAUUAAGAAAAGGAGGACAGAAGGAUGAUAUUAAAGGCAGAGAAAGGGAGAGGACAGAAGUAAAAUGUAAGACAAAAGCAAUAGGAGAGCAGAGGAAUUCAGAGAGCUCUAAAGGGUUAUUGUAGGUCAACUGCUUAUUUCAUACACGGUUUUUACCUCUUUGUUCUUUAAUAUCUGGUUUACUUUUCAAGUGUUUAUUAAAAAAAAAGGUGUGGGGGGGGCAGCCCAGGUGGCUCAGCGGUUUAGCGCUGCCUUCAGCCCAGGGCCUGAUCCUGGAGACCCGGGAUGGAGUCCCUCGUUGGGCUCCCUGCAUGGAGCCUGCUUCUCUCUCUGCCUCUGUCUCUCUGUGUGUCUUAGGAAUAAAUAAAUAAAAUCUUAAAAAAAAAAAAAAAAAAAA
Molecule: long non-coding RNA, 1450 nt
Filed under: Canis lupus familiaris (dog)
Lineage: Eukaryota; Metazoa; Chordata; Mammalia; Carnivora; Canidae
Description: lncRNA (ENSCAFG00845006415.1)
Source: RNAcentral